AGCUUUAUCUGCCGUCAGAUUAGUUGAGGCCUUGCGGGUGGCAUGUAAGACUGGUUUAUGAAUAAGAGUUGUCGCACCUCUCUCCGGAGGUGAGGUGUGAUUGUCCAGCAGUUUUGCUGCUACUUUCGCAUUGGCUUGUACCAGUAAUACUAGGUUCGAGGGUCUGAACUUUGUUGUAUUGAAUGUUACACCCAUGUAAUAGUUUUCUUUGCACCUGUUAUCUUUGAUGUCAAGUUAAGUGUACUUCCUGUUCAAAAAAAAUAAAAAGUGUACUCAAGCACUGGCUUAUGUUUAUUGAUUGCAGUGGUGGAUUGUAUUCAGUUACUUUUGGUGUUCCUAUUCAUCAGUGAGAAAAGGAAAAUCCACUUGCUUUUGUCUUUCGAUCACACUCGUAUUGAGGAAGGGGAUUGUUCAUUGGAU
RNAcentral lists this long non-coding RNA (420 nucleotides) under Triticum aestivum (bread wheat). RNAcentral describes it as "long non-coding RNA (TAES_LNC012208)". Lineage: Eukaryota; Viridiplantae; Streptophyta; Magnoliopsida; Poales; Poaceae. The record is from RNAcentral.